UGUGCAUAGCAGUAUUAGAAAGUUAAACGCA
This 31-nucleotide non-coding RNA is filed under the name Mus musculus (house mouse). Lineage: Eukaryota; Metazoa; Chordata; Mammalia; Rodentia; Muridae. The record is from RNAcentral.